RNAcentral lists this ribosomal RNA (463 nucleotides) under uncultured Desulfobulbus sp. RNAcentral describes it as "bacterial SSU rRNA". It matches the Rfam family "Bacterial small subunit ribosomal RNA", at positions 925 to 1382 of the family's 1533-position model. Lineage: Bacteria; Pseudomonadati; Thermodesulfobacteriota; Desulfobulbia; Desulfobulbales; Desulfobulbaceae. The record is from RNAcentral.
ACAAGCGGUGGAGUAUGUGGUUUAAUUCGAUGCAACGCGAAGAACCUUGCCUGGUCUUGACAUCCCGGAGACCCUUAGGAAACUAGGGGGUGCUUCCAUCUGGAAGAAUCUGGAGACAGGUGCUGCAUGGCUGUCGUCAGCUCGUGUCGUGAGAUGUUGGGUUAAGUCCCGCAACGAGCGCAACCCUUGCCUUUAGUUGCCAGCAGUUCGGCUGGGCACUCUAAAGGGACUGCCGGUGUUAAACCGGAGGAAGGUGGGGAUGACGUCAAGUCCUCAUGGCCUUUAUGACCAGGGCUACACACGUACUACAAUGGCCGAUACAAAGGGCAGCGACACUGCGAGGUGAAGCCAAUCCCGUAAAAUCGGUCUCAGUCCGGAUUGGAGUCUGCAACUCGACUCCAUGAAGUUGGAAUCGCUAGUAAUCGUGGAUCAGCAUGCCACGGUGAAUACGUUCCCGGGCCUU